Molecule: ribosomal RNA, 498 nt
Filed under: uncultured bacterium
Lineage: Bacteria
Description: partial 16S ribosomal RNA
Rfam family: Bacterial small subunit ribosomal RNA
Source: RNAcentral
GACGAACGCUGGCGGCGUGCCUAAUACAUGCAAGUCGUGCGGACCUUUUAAAAGCUUGCUCUUACAAGGUUAGCGGCGGACGGGUGAGUAACACGUGGGCAACCUGCCUGUAAGACUGGGAUAACGCCGGGAAACCGGGGCUAAUACCGGAUCGUUUUUCCUCCGCGUGGAGGCAAAAGGAAAGGCGGCUUCGGCUGCCACUUACAGAUGGGCACGCGGCGCAUUAGCUAGUUGGCGGGGUAACGGCCCACCAAGGCAACGAUGCGUAGCCGACCUGAGAGGGUGCGCUGCCAAACUGGGACUGAGACACGGGCCAAAACCCUGCGGGAGGCAGCAGGAGGGGAUCUUCCGCGAUGGACGAAAGUCUGAAGGAGCGACGCCGCGUGAGAGACGAAGGCCGUCGGGUCGUAAAAGUCUGUUGCCGGGGAAGAACAAGAACCGUUCGAACAGGGCGGCGCCUUGACGGUACCCGGAGAGAAAGCCACGGCUAACUACGUG